UUUAUUCGUAAAUCCGUAGAUUUGAAGUUUUGCAGUCUUAUGAAGAAUUGACUUAUUUAAAACAACAAGAUGUCAGAUCACUUUGGUCCAAUAACUUUAAAAUGGGAUCCCAAGAAUUUAGAGAUUCGUACAAUGUCUGUAGAAAAGACAUUGGAGCCUUUGGUUUUACAAGUAACUACACUUGUAAACACAAAGGGUCCCAGCAAGAAGAAAAAAGGAAAGUCAAAGAGAGCCAGUGCUCUGGUCGGAACUGUAGAGAAGGCAACUAGUAAUUUCAUUGAAAGAGGUGAACAAAUUGCUUAUGAAAAUCCUGAUAUCACUGCUGAAAUGUUAAGUGCUGUGGAGGAAGUAAGGAAAACAGGUGCUGCCAUGAGCAUUGCUGCUAGGGAAUUCUCUGAAGAUCCUUGCUCCUCUUUAAAAAGAGGCAAUAUGGUCCGUGCUGCAAGAAAUCUAUUAUCUGCAGUAACUCGUUUACUUAUUCUAGCAGACAUGGUCGAUGUACAUUUGUUACUGAAAUCUUUGCACGUGGUGGAAGAUGAUCUGCAGAAGUUAAAGAAUGCAUCCUCCCAAGGAGAACUAUUAGAAAACAUCAAACAGUUUGGAAGAAAUGCAUCAGAACUUAUGAAUCAAGCUGCAAAACGUCAACAAGAAUUGAAAGAUCCUCAGUUAAGGGAUGACUUAGCUGCAGCCAGAGCUGUACUAAAGAAACACUCCACUAUGCUUCUCACUGCUUCUAAAGUUUAUGUUCGACAUCCUGAACUGGCCGCGGCAAAAGCAAAUCGUGAUUAUGUUUUGAAGCAAGUAUGCGAAGCUGUGAACACUAUUAAUGAUGUUGCCCAAGGAAAGACUCCUCUCGAUAGUCAGCAUCCUUACGAAGGCCCCGGUGAAUUAGCUGCUGCUUUAGACGAUUUUGAUGAAAGAAUGGUGAUGUCUCCACUUGCGUAUAACGAAGUACGUACAAGACCCAGCCUGGAGGAACGAUUGGAAAGCAUUAUAAGUGGUGCUGCACUGAUGGCAGAUUCUUCGUGCACCAGAGAUGAACGCCGAGAGCGCAUUGUUGCCGAAUGCAAUGCAGUUAGGCAAGCUCUUCAAGAUUUGCUCAGUGAAUAUAUGAAUAAUAUGGGCGUCAAGGAACAGUCAGAAGGUUUGGAAAGAGCGAUCGAUCAUAUGUGCAGAAAGACACGCGAUCUUCGUAGGCAAUUAAGAAAGGCCGUAGUAGAUCACGUGUCUGACAGCUUCUUAGAAACAAGCGUACCAUUAUUGGUUUUGAUCGAAGCUGCGAGAAACGGUCGUGACAAAGAAGUAGAAGAGUAUGCUCUUGUUUUCACAGAGCACGCAAAUAAGUUGGUCGAGGUGAAUUUCACAAACAAUAUUAUUCUAUUAAUUACCGAUCUUUAUUCGAAAAAAAGAUUCAGUGUUCGAUAUAUGUCAAUAAUGUUGCAUUCAUUUGAUCAGGUUGCCAAUCUAGUAUGUAGUAUGUCGGGAAACGAAGACGGUGUGAAGAUGGUUCGUUACGCUGCAGCUCAAAUCGGGAACCUAUGCCCGCAAGUAAUUAACGCGGCUCGCGUAUUGGCAGCUCGUAAUCGGUCGAAAGUCGCCCUAGACAACAUGGAAGUGUUUAGACAAGCAUGGGAGAACCAAGUGAGAGUAUUAACGGAAGCCGUCGACGACAUUACCACUAUCGACGAUUUCUUGGCCGUCUCCGAGAACCAUAUCUUGGAAGACGUGAACAAAUGCGUGCUGGCAUUGCAAGAAGGCGACGCAGACACUUUGGAUAGAACCGCUGGCGCAAUUCGCGGCCGUUCGGCCCGAGUCUGUAACGUUGUCCAAGCUGAGAUGGAUAACUACGAGCCUUGUAUCUAUACCAAACGGGUCUUAGAAGCCGUGAAAGUUCUUAGGGAACAAGUAAUGCCAAAAUUUGCGCAGAGAGUAGAAGUCGCUGUAGAUGCUUUGGGUAGUAAUCCCGCUAAAGACGUGGACGAGAAUGAUUUUAUAGAUGCUUCAAGACUAGUUUACGACGGAGUCCGUGAAAUUAGACGCGCUGUACUCAUGAAUAGAGCGGAUGAAGACUUGGAUCCGGAAGAUGUCGAGCUGGACGAACAUUAUACGCUGGAAACUCGCAGCAAAUCCAGUGCCCAAACUGGCGAGCACGGUGUCGAUGAAUAUCCAGAAAUUAGUGGUAUUACAACUGCUCGCGAAGCUAUGCGCAAAAUGCCAGAAGAAGACAAACAGAAGAUCUUGCAACAAGUGGAGUUUUUCAAGAGUGAAAAAUUAAAAUUCGACAAAGAGGUUGCCAAAUGGGACGACGCUGGAAAUGAUAUAAUUGUUUUGGCGAAGCAUAUGUGUAUGAUCAUGAUGGAAAUGACUGAUUUCACCAGAGGUCGUGGACCUCUAAAAACCACCAUGGAUGUUAUAAACGCAGCGAAAAAGAUUUCUGAAGCUGGAACGAAACUAGAUAAAUUAACUAGACAAAUCGCGGAUCAGUGCCCAGAGAGCUCUACCAAGAAAGAUCUCCUGGCAUAUUUACAACGUAUAGCAUUGUAUUGUCAUCAGAUGAAUAUAACUAGCAAAGUCAAAGCGGAUGUACAAAACAUUAGCGGUGAACUGAUUGUAUCUGGACUGGACAGUGCGACUUCCCUCAUUCAGGCGGCGAAAAAUUUAAUGAACGCAGUGGUUCUUACUGUUAAAGCUUCGUAUGUUGCGUCAACGAAGUAUCCUCGACAAUCAACGGUAACUGUAAGUAUCGUCAAUGCUCUAUGUUUGGUUAUACUAUAGUAAAGUAUGUAGGAAUUUGUAUAUACCUAAUAUUAAUCCUAAAACAUUUACUAACAAAAACUUGGAUUAUGCAGUAUUCUCCAAUCGUUGUUUGGAAAAUGAAGGCGCCA
Molecule: unclassified non-coding RNA, 2885 nt
Filed under: Dufourea novaeangliae
Lineage: Eukaryota; Metazoa; Arthropoda; Insecta; Hymenoptera; Halictidae
Description: catenin alpha, transcript variant X1
Source: RNAcentral